UGGGCGCAAGCCUGAUCCAGCAAUGCCGCGUGCAGGAUGAAGGCCUUCGGGUUGUAAACUGCUUUUGUACGGAACGAAAAGCCCUGGGUUAAUACCCUGGGGUCAUGACGGUACCGUAAGAAUAAGCACCGGCUAACUACGUGCCAGCAGCCGCGGUAAUACGUAGGGUGCGAGCGUUAAUCGGAAUUACUGGGCGUAAAGCGUGCGCAGGCGGUUUUGUAAGACAGAGGUGAAAUCCCCGGGCUCAACCUGGGAACUGCCUUUGUGACUGCAAGGCUAGAGUACGGCAGAGGGGGAUGGAAUUCCGCGUGUAGCAGUGAAAUGCGUAGAUAUGCGGAGGAACACCGAUGGCGAAGGCAAUCCCCUGGGCCUGUACUGACGCUCAUGCACGAAAGCGUGGGGAGCAAACAGGAUUAGAUACCCUGGUAGUCCACGCCCUAAACGAUGUCAACUGGUUGUUGGGUCUUAACUGACUCAGUAACGAAGCUAACGCGUGAAGUUGACCGCCUGGGGAGUACG
This 519-nucleotide ribosomal RNA is filed under the name uncultured bacterium. Its description in RNAcentral is "bacterial SSU rRNA". It matches the Rfam family "Bacterial small subunit ribosomal RNA", at positions 372 to 884 of the family's 1533-position model. The record is from RNAcentral.